RNAcentral lists this ribosomal RNA (497 nucleotides) under uncultured bacterium. Its description in RNAcentral is "partial 16S ribosomal RNA". It matches the Rfam family "Bacterial small subunit ribosomal RNA", at positions 28 to 507 of the family's 1533-position model. The record is from RNAcentral.
GUUGAACGCUGGCGGCGUGCCUAAUACAUGCAAGUCGAGCGAACAGACGAGGAGCUUGCUCCUCUGAUGUUAGCGGCGGAAGUGUGAGUAACACGUGGAUAACCUACCUAUAAGACUGGGAUAACUUCGGGAAACCGGAGCUAAUACCGGAUAAUAUAUUGAACCGCAUGGUUCACUAGUGUAAUACGGUUUUGCCGUCUCUUAUAGCUGGAUCCGCGCCGCAUUAGGUAGUUGGUAAGGUAACGGCCUACCAAGGAGACGAUGCGUAGCUGACCUGAGAGGAUGAUCCGCCACACUGGAACUGAGACACGGUCCAGACUCCUACGGGAGGCAGCAGUAGGGAAUCUUGCGCAAUGGGCGAAAGCCUGAAGGAGCAACGCCGCGUGAGUGAAGAAGGUCUUCGGAUCGUAAAACUCUGUUAUUAGGGAAGAAAAAAUGUGUAAGAAACUAUGCACGUCAUGACGGUACCGAAACAGAAAGCAACGGCUAACUACGUG